AAUUGAAAUUGAUCUUUCCCGUGCAGAAGCGGGGAUUUUAACAUAAGACGAGAAGACCCUAUGGAGCUUCAGGCUCCAGAACAGACUAUGUUAAAAACCCUCCCACAAAAGACAAAACUUAUUAGACCCUGUUCCAAUGCCUUUGGUUGGGGCGACCGCGGGGAAACGAAAAACCCCCAUACGGACCGGGAGCAUCACUCCUCCCAAAACCAAGAGCAACACCUUUAAGUAACAGUACAUCUGACCAACAAAUGAUCCGGCACAGCCGAUCAACGGACCGAGUUACCCUAGGGAUAACAGCGCAAUCCCCUUCUAGAGCCCAUAUCGACAAGGGGGUUUACGACCUUUAUGUUGGAUCAGGACAUCCUAUUGGUGCAGCCGCUAUAAGGGUUCGUUUGUUCAACGAUUAAAGUCCUACGUGAUCUGAGUU
Molecule: ribosomal RNA, 430 nt
Filed under: Centropomus undecimalis
Lineage: Eukaryota; Metazoa; Chordata; Actinopteri; Centropomidae
Description: partial large subunit ribosomal RNA
Rfam family: Bacterial large subunit ribosomal RNA
Source: RNAcentral